Molecule: non-coding RNA, 122 nt
Filed under: Tryblionella compressa
Lineage: Eukaryota; Bacillariophyta; Bacillariophyceae; Bacillariales; Bacillariaceae
Source: RNAcentral
GUCAAGACCAUCUCCUGCCCCUACCCUAAAUCCCACAGCUCAUCCCACAUCUUCUCCAACAUCUGUGUACUCGUGUCCACAAGUCACGUUGAAUUUCAAUGAACUCGCUGCGGGGUCCUAUA